UUCAAGACCUUGCUUCGUUAUUCUCUACUUGCAUGACGCUUCCAAAAGCUUUAUUGGCAAAUAUGCUCUGUAAAAGAAUGAUCAAUCCUGUUGCCUCUAAGUCAGUAGAAUGAAGAGCUGUGUCCAGGGACACACCACACCGUGCUGAAGGAGACUGCUGCUGUGUCCACCUCUUAUUCAUAGACCCAGUCAUGAGCACAAGACUUGUAGUCAACCAGUUCUUCAGGCUUAAACCGUAGGCUGAUUUCUUUUUCAGCAGUUUUUACUGAAUCACUGCCAUGAAUGAUGUUCCUGCCAACCUGAAUGCAAAAGUCCCCACGAAUGGUGCCUGGCUUAGAAUCUGCUGGAUUGGUCUCCCCAAGCAUCACUCGGCCUGUCUUCACGACGUUCAGCCCCUCCCAGACCAUGGCCACGACCGGCCCUGAGGUCAUGUACUUCACCAGCCCAGGGAAGACUGGGCGGUCCUUCAGGUCAAUGUAGUGCUGCUUCAGGUGUUCUUCAGAGGCCGGGAGGAACUUCAUGGCCACGAGGCGGAACCCCUUCUGCUCGAAGCGCUUGAUGAUCUUGCCCACCAGGCCGCACUGCAUGCUGUCCGGCCUGAUGGUGAUGAAGGUGCGCUCGAGGUUGGCCGUGGUCCGGGAAGCUGGAGGGGCCGGGCGGCGGCGCUGCGCUCCUCUCUUUCUUUUUUGGAACAAGGACUUGCUCUGUCACCCAGGCUGGAGUGUAAUGGUGUGAUCAUGGCUCACUGCAGCCUCCAACUCCUGGGCUCAAGCAAUCUUCCUUCCUCAACAUCCCCAGUACCUAGGACUACAGGUUGGCACCUCUACAGCUGGAUAAUUUUUUAAUGUUUUGUAGAGAUGGGCUGUUUUCCUGAACUCAAGUGAUCCUCCC
RNAcentral lists this long non-coding RNA (891 nucleotides) under Pan troglodytes (chimpanzee). RNAcentral describes it as "long non-coding RNA NONPTRT004113". Lineage: Eukaryota; Metazoa; Chordata; Mammalia; Primates; Hominidae. The record is from RNAcentral.